Long non-coding RNA from Perca flavescens (yellow perch), 526 nucleotides. RefSeq lists it as uncharacterized. The transcript has 2 exons. NCBI's taxonomy places the organism in Eukaryota, Metazoa, Chordata, Actinopteri, Perciformes, Percidae. The record is from RefSeq and is a predicted model, not a curated record.
UCACUCAACCACCUGGAAACCCUCAGCACUGAUUGCCAUCUUACUCCUGCUGCAGUACUUAACCCAGUCUCCCACUCCUCUCUUCCCCAAUUUGUUGUUGUACCUCAGUGCCCUGCCAUGCUUCACCUACCUGCUUGCCUCGCCCAGCCUCAACCUGAUCUACAUCCCGACCACCACUCUUAACCCUUACUCCACCCCCAGCUUCCAUUUUUGAGUUUCUCUUUUGUUUGUUUUUGGCAAUAAACCGUUCUGCCUUGUGGGUUCAGUUCUGUUUCAAAGCGCAAGGUUAACAUAUACACUACUUAAGAUAAAACUAAAAGCAUCUUUUUUUCAAUUUCUGCCUUUCAUCGACUGUAUUUCAGUGGUCAAGACAAAAACAUGGUGUUGGAUUGAAAUAUUCAACAUGUCCACACUUAUUCACAUUACAUGGACACAACCCUAGUUUUUUGCCUGAAUUAGGCACUCUUCAUGACAUUAAUUUGCUUGAGAUGCCUUAAAGUCACAAUAAAUCAAUGGACAUAAUGGA